Molecule: transfer RNA, 71 nt
Filed under: Mantella madagascariensis (Madagascar golden frog)
Lineage: Eukaryota; Metazoa; Chordata; Amphibia; Anura; Mantellidae
Description: tRNA-Ile
Rfam family: tRNA
About the family: Transfer RNA (tRNA) molecules are approximately 80 nucleotides in length. Their secondary structure includes four short double-helical elements and three loops (D, anti-codon, and T loops).
Source: RNAcentral
GGAAAUGUGCCCGAAAGCUAGGGUCCUCCUUGAUAGGGAGGUCUAUAUGGGUUCAAACCCCCUCGUUUCCU